This 406-nucleotide ribosomal RNA is filed under the name uncultured bacterium. RNAcentral describes it as "partial 16S ribosomal RNA". It matches the Rfam family "Bacterial small subunit ribosomal RNA", at positions 30 to 526 of the family's 1533-position model. The record is from RNAcentral.
AUUGAACGCUGGCGGCAGGCCUAACACAUGCAAGUCGAACGAGUGGCGGACGGGUGAGUAAUGUCUGGGAAACUGCCUGAUGGAGGGGGAUAACUACUGGAAACGGUAGCUAAUACCGCAUACCAUCAGAUGUGCCCAGAUGGGAUUAGCUAGUAGGUGGGGUAACGGCUCACCUAGGCGACGAUCCCUAGCUGGGCUGAGAGGAUGACCAGACACAGGUGAAUGGAUACACUGCCCAGACUCCUACGGGAGGCAGCAGUGGGGAAUAUUGCACAAUGGGCGCAAGCCUGAGGCAGCCAUGCCGCGUGUAUGAAGAAGGCCUUCGGGUUGUAAAGUACUUUCAGUGGGGAGGCGUUACCCGCAGAAGAAGCACCGGCUAACUCCGUGCCAGCAGCCGCGGUAAUUC